This 254-nucleotide ribosomal RNA is filed under the name uncultured bacterium. RNAcentral describes it as "partial 16S ribosomal RNA". It matches the Rfam family "Bacterial small subunit ribosomal RNA", at positions 524 to 776 of the family's 1533-position model. The record is from RNAcentral.
GACAUAGGUGGCGAACGUUAUCCGGAUUUAUUGGGCGUAAAGGAUGCGUAGGUGGUGGAAUAAGUUAUUGGUCAAAGUCAAGCUCAACUUGGCGGAAGCUGGUAAUACUAUUCUACUUGAGGAUAGGAGAGGUUGGCGGAAUUCUGUGUGGAGCGGUGAAAUGCGUUGAUCUACAGAGGAACACCAAAAAAGGCGAAGGCAGCCAACUAGUCUAUUCCUGACAGUGAGGCAUGAAAGCGUGGGGAGCAAACCGG